UGAUAUUUAACGAAAGUGGCGAACGGGUGAGUAACACGUGAGCAACCUGCCUUACACAGGGGGAUAGCCAUUGGAAACGGUGAUUAAUACCCCAUAAGACCACAAUACCGCAUGGUAAAAGGGUAAAAGGGAUACCGGUGUAAGAUGGGCCCGCGUCUGAUUAGCUAGUUGGUGGGGUAAAGGCCUACCAAGGCGACGAUCAGUAGCCGGUCUGAGAGGAUGAACGGCCACAUUGGAACUGAGACACGGUCCAAACUCCUACGGGAGGCAGCAGUU
Molecule: ribosomal RNA, 276 nt
Filed under: uncultured Parvimonas sp.
Lineage: Bacteria; Bacillati; Bacillota; Tissierellia; Tissierellales; Peptoniphilaceae
Description: partial 16S ribosomal RNA
Rfam family: Bacterial small subunit ribosomal RNA
Source: RNAcentral